AAAUGUAACCCGUAAAUUGACUUACAACACACACACACACACACACACACACACACACACACACACACACACACACACACACACACACACACACACACACACACACACACACACACACACACACACAGUUAGUUAUAUCCUAGCUCGUCCGCGCCAUUAAUUGCAAUAAUUACGAGUAAUUAAUACUUAGGUCUCUAUACAUAAGUUGUGGGCAAAUGUUGAGACUCGUCCACCUGGUAACACCUCUCCAUUCUCUUUCGCAGAUCAAAAUGAUAUAUUGAAUAUCUCUAGACGAAAUGAGAAGAAAUUCAUCGUUGUGUGUUGUUCCGUGAUCAACCAAUUGCAAUUAAAAGUAUAGAAAAAUAACGUGUUAUCAGAUGACGGACUUCAAUCAGACGACGCGUUAUGUUAAGGAUCGAGUCAAAGGGCCAUCCGGAGCAAAUCCCACGUUCCACGGGGUGUCCCGCAAAUCCAGCAUCAUUAGGUCGUUAUCGAUGCAUUGUAACAUCCUGAACAUCAUGUAACUUGAUUGCAUAAAGUAAAACUCUGCGCAUUGAAAAUAAUAGUGAACUAUUGAACAGAUUGUAUUAUAUAAAAGCUUUCGUAUGCCUUACCCUUUUAAUUCCUUUCCUUACGAUGCUGGACCCGUGACGACACAUCCUGCGUAUACGUGAAUGUAUAUAGAACUCCCUGCGUCUCCUGCCAGCCCCCGCGCGAGUCCUCCGUACAAUCGUUCUCGUCAAGAGGUUACUCGCAUACCAAAGUUUCCAUUCAAGUCGGAGCUUUGGCUAAAGCGUCGUUCUCUUUCUCUUUUCCCUCAUUUUUCUUUUUUUCUUUUUUUACGGACUAUCCUGUGUCGCACAGCAACGCGGAAGUCCUACACCGUAUUCACAGAAUAUAAGAUACACGUAUAUAAGUAGAUACACAUCGUGCCUCGACACGUCGGUCGAUACUAUAUUGUAAAUCUGUUUAACACGCAGAAAAAAGUGUCGUGGAGCUUUCUCGGGUUUAAGAUACCUAGAACGAUUUUUAUAAGCUCAUUCCUCUCCUCCCGAAAAUCUGUCGUCUCUUUACGCGCAAACAAGCCGCUUAUUAUAACUUCUCUCGCCUUCGUCCCUCAUCUUCGUCAAAACUCGGAAUAUUUGCAUUGUUCGGUCUUAACUUCUACUUACAUGAUACACUAUUGUUUCUCGCGAAUGCAACGAAUUAGGUAAACACGAAGUCUCACCGUUCGAGGUACGACCGAUGCCUCUGCUUUUCGCUUCCUCUUUUUUUUCUCUUUUAGUCUCUCUAAAUCAAUUUCUCAGCGCGUGUUUCAACGAGAGUUUCCGAUGGAAGCGAGGGUCUUUUUUUCUCUUCUGCGAGUUUUAUCAUACGCAAGACAAACACCUGUAUCGGUCUUAGUUCGCAGUGGAAUUUCGUGUUUGCCAAACCAUAGAAAUGUAAAGCGAACUCAGUCUUUGGUUGGAGCGAUCUUCGAAAUCUCGAUUCUCGACGUUUUAUUUAAAUUUAAUGGCUAUCGGAUUAUUACCUUUAACAUUAAUAAAUUUUAUAUAAAAAUCCAUAUACAUCUAUAUCUUGUUUUUAAAGCGUGUCUCAACUAAAAUAAAACAGAUCGCCUCCCUCUCUUUACAAAUACGCUCUCGAAUCUUUGUUUUUCAUUUUCACCUUUUUUCGUUCACAUAAAGUCGCUCGUUCUUCUCAAAGUCAUUUGGCGGAAGAAUGUAUGCUUCUUUCGUUUUCAGGGCGUCGCUAGAAAUCUCGGUAGCAGCAUAUAUACGGCAGCUGUACAUACGAUGUUUCUGUGUGUGUGUGUGUGUGUGUGUGUGUUUAUGUUUCACGACAAGCAGAUAACGUUUAUAAAAGCUAGACGCUCUACGAGUACACGAGAGCAAACAGAGUGGAGAGAGCGGAGGAAUUACGAUUUUCGCGCGCAGCAGUGAAUCUGAGAAAAACGAGAGAAAUGACGAAGUAUAUAAAGAGUUAUAUGUACAAACACAUCUCACAAAACGGAUCUUACACGGAAAAAAAGAAUACGCCCCAAAUAUACAGGCGAAAGUGUGAAGAUCUUAACAAAAAAAAAAAAAA
Long non-coding RNA from Monomorium pharaonis (pharaoh ant), 2088 nucleotides. RefSeq lists it as uncharacterized. The record is from RefSeq and is a predicted model, not a curated record. The transcript has 2 exons. NCBI's taxonomy places the organism in Eukaryota, Metazoa, Arthropoda, Insecta, Hymenoptera, Formicidae.